Magallana angulata is the source of this 790-nucleotide long non-coding RNA. RefSeq lists it as uncharacterized. Lineage: Eukaryota; Metazoa; Mollusca; Bivalvia; Ostreida; Ostreidae. The transcript has 4 exons. The record is from RefSeq and is a predicted model, not a curated record.
GAUAAGAAAAAAGUAGGUACGAAAUAAUGCGUUUACGUUAUCAAAGCAGUUUAACUUUAAAUUAAAUAAAAAGGGUAUUGACGGAGGCGGAAGUAGGUCUGCUAAGGUCUUGAAAUGAAAUCAUUCUUUAAAGAAAAGGAUAUAUUGAAAACUCUAAACGAAAAAUACCUGAGCAUUGAUGAGAAUUACGAAGCGUGGAAAGAAGAGCUGAGGAAAAUCCUCCAGUCCCGUGUAUUGGACAAUAGCUCCAUCUGCGAGGACUUUAAGUAUCUCCGAAACAGGAGAUUUCUAAAUCCGGGCUUUUUAUUAGAGGUCUUGAAAAACGUAGAUCCUUUAGCAGUUAGAUUUAUACAGCGGAAUCGAUGGCACAGAAGAUGUCAACGUGAAAUUCGACAAAAGAAAAGAAACGAACAGAACCAAACAGACGACCAUACUAGUUUAACAACACUCUAAACCUACAUUAAAGAUAGAAAAAAAUAUUGUAAUUAUAAUUCAUAAAUAAAACUCUUAACAAAUCUGUUAAAAGGCUAAUUUCAGCCAGCCAUAUUAUGACAACGUAUAAUGCAUGUUUGUAUUGCAUGUAUGAAUACCAUUUCAAAUGAAUUAAUACCAUUUUAAAAGUCUCUUGAUAAAUUGUAUGUAAAUAUAUUGUGCUAAUUAACAUGUUAAGUUCAAUAUGUGUAACAAGUCAGGAAUUAUAUAGAAUAUCUUUAUUUUGUUCUCCAUGUACAAAACUGUUGGAAUUUUUAAAAUAAAAAACAAUGUAAAUGAAAAUGUAGUAAUUACAUAA